AGUGAACGCUGGCGGCAGGCCUAACACAUGCGAGUCGAACGGCAGCACAAGAGAGCUUGCUCUCUGGGUGGCGAGUGGCGGACGGGUGAGGAAUGCAUCGGAAUCUGCCCAUUUGUGGGGGAUAACCUCGGGAAACCGGGACUAAUACCGCAUACGACCUACGGGUGAAAGCAGGGGAUCUUCGGACCUUGCGCAGAUGGAUGAGCCGAUGCCGGAUUAGCUAGUUGGAGGGGUAAAGGCCCACCAAGGCGACGAUCCGUAGCUGGUCUGAGAGGAUGAUCAGCCACACUGGGACUGAGACACGGCCCAGACUCCUGCGGGAGGCAGCAGUGGGGAAUAUUGGACAAUGGGCGCAAGCCUGAUCCAGCCAUGCCGCGUGUGUGAAGAAGGCCUUCGGGUUGUAAAGCACUUUUGUUGGGAAAGAAAAGCAGCCGGUUAAUACCCGGUUGUCAUGACGGUACCCAAAGAAUAAGCACCGGCUAACUUCGUG
RNAcentral lists this ribosomal RNA (490 nucleotides) under uncultured bacterium. RNAcentral's name for it is "partial 16S ribosomal RNA". It matches the Rfam family "Bacterial small subunit ribosomal RNA", at positions 29 to 507 of the family's 1533-position model. The record is from RNAcentral.